UGGGGGAUAGUUAAACGGUAUAACCGCGGAUUUUGAUUCCGCUAUCCUAGGUUCGAUUCCUAGUCCCUCUGCCA
Molecule: transfer RNA, 74 nt
Filed under: bacterium
Lineage: Bacteria
Description: tRNA-Gln
Rfam family: tRNA
About the family: Transfer RNA (tRNA) molecules are approximately 80 nucleotides in length. Their secondary structure includes four short double-helical elements and three loops (D, anti-codon, and T loops).
Source: RNAcentral